Clupea harengus (Atlantic herring) is the source of this 1258-nucleotide long non-coding RNA. RefSeq lists it as uncharacterized. The record is from RefSeq and is a predicted model, not a curated record. Lineage: Eukaryota; Metazoa; Chordata; Actinopteri; Clupeiformes; Clupeidae. The transcript has 3 exons.
GUUAUUUUCUUAUUGCAUUAAAGGUCAUAAUUCAAGUUAUUUUUAACUAGAUAUGAGUUUUAACAAUCACUUAAUUGCAUUACGUAGUAAAAGUGACCUAAAUCACUUAAAAAACACAGUCAAAUAUACUUGCGAUACUUGUGGAUUACCACUGAUCACAAGAUGCUCAGUCAGAAAUGUUGUCAUAAACCACAAGUUUUCCUCAAACUCGGUGGCAGGAUCGUAUUCACUCGAACGCACCCAACACAUCUCAAAUGUCGCUUGAGCUGCAUGCCAGUGAUGUGAACUGAAGCAAGUACAAGAGCUGUGCCUUUCGACUUCAAAAGCUAAAGGUAAGUUAACAUAAUUUAACCUCUGCCUACUUUGGUAAUUCGUCAGCAAUAUUGAAAACAAAAAUGUUUUAAAAGACCAAGACUUCUGGUUGAAGUUAUUAACUUGUUAGCAAACAAAGAUAGCACACUUGACGUCAGCUAAGACAGCUAACCUAGCACAAUAAUUCAAUUGAACCCAUGUCGACUGAGCUAACGUCUCUCAUAUGUUUUAAACUAGUGCCAGGUAAUACAAUGUCAGAAAGUGUCCCUAGUAGUCUUGUCUGUAAAAAGUAAGCAAGUUCAGAGGAUUCAUUUAGUGUGAAUGUUGGUGAUAUAAUAGCUAGUAGCUGCAGUUAGCUCUUAGCUAACUAGCUACUCUAUAGGUUAAGGAUCCCCCACCCUGAGUGAAGCUUCGACUUGAAGUUGAAGAUUUUUUUCUUUCUGAAAGAGUAACAACCCUUUUCUUUAAAUUACAGAUGGAGCAAUUGGACAAGACAACACAUUCACUUCUGGAAGCUGCACAGGCCAUUGCCUUGUUGGAGGCGCUCCCAAAAAUGUUCCCUUACCCAACCGCCCCUCCAAGAAAAGUCGGCAAGUGAGGCACUGUACCAUGUUCUUGAGCCAUCUGAGGACGCCAAUGUCUUCUUGCGUAACUGAUGACCUUGCCAAGGGACAUGCUUCUGGAAUCCCUCAUGAUACUGAUGGGAUGCUACUAUGUGUUCCAGUUAACAUAUUCCAAGUGUUUUGCUAGGCUAUUGUCCAUAAUACAAACAGAGGUACUCAAAGAUUUUAUUCACGAGAGUGACAAGACGACAACAUAUAAAAAGGUGCUUGCUGACUGUUAAGUAUUCAUCCAAACCUAGUCUGUCUCUCCCUCUCUCUUUGUCAACCUCCUACUGUAUGUCACUCUUCUGUAUGUCACUCCCCCCCCCCCCACACUCUUUCUC